AGUUUACAAUUCAACGUGUACAUCAAAUAUCCAAUUCAUUACAUAUGAGUUCCCAUUACAAUAUGAUUCAUUACCAAAAUACAUGCUAAAAUUCCAAGGCCUCAUUCAAGAUAUCGAAUUUCCUUUUGAAAAAAAUAAAAAUCCUACUGUACUAGAGAUUUACGUGACUAUAUGUUUCGAUGAGGACACAACAUUUAGUUCUCCCAACACAUAA
This is a non-coding RNA of Vicia faba (fava bean), 214 nucleotides long. NCBI's taxonomy places the organism in Eukaryota, Viridiplantae, Streptophyta, Magnoliopsida, Fabales, Fabaceae. The record is from the annotation of a GenBank genome assembly.